Molecule: non-coding RNA, 125 nt
Organism: Mustela putorius furo (domestic ferret)
Lineage: Eukaryota; Metazoa; Chordata; Mammalia; Carnivora; Mustelidae
Source: Rfam
GUCUGUGGCCAAACCACCCUGAACGCGCCCGAUCUCGUCUGAUCUCGGAAGCUAAACAGGGUUAGGCCUGGUUCGUACUUGGAUGGGAGAAGUCUAUAAAGUAAGGCACCAGGAUGAAACUAUCU